AGAGAUGCACUGGGCUUAAAGCGUGCGCAGGCGGUUUUGUAAGACAGAGGUGAAAUCCCCGGGCUCAACCUGGGAACUGCCUUUGUGACUGCAAGGCUGGAGUGCGGCAGAGGGGGAUGGAAUUCCGCGUGUAGCAGUGAAAUGCGUAGAUAUGCGGAGGAACACCGAUGGCGAAGGCAAUCCCCUGGGCCUGCACUGACGCUCAUGCACGAAAGCGUGGGGGAGCAAACA
Molecule: ribosomal RNA, 231 nt
Filed under: uncultured Alicycliphilus sp.
Lineage: Bacteria; Pseudomonadati; Pseudomonadota; Betaproteobacteria; Burkholderiales; Comamonadaceae
Description: partial 16S ribosomal RNA
Rfam family: Bacterial small subunit ribosomal RNA
Source: RNAcentral